Molecule: ribosomal RNA, 254 nt
Filed under: uncultured bacterium
Lineage: Bacteria
Description: partial 16S ribosomal RNA
Rfam family: Bacterial small subunit ribosomal RNA
Source: RNAcentral
UACAGAGGAGCCAAGCGUUGUCCGGAUUGACUGGGCGUAAAGCGCACGCAGGCGGAUGCGCGCGUGGGGUGUGAAAUCUGGCCGCUUAACGGCCAGGCGCCAUCCCAUACGGCGCGUCUGGAGUGAUGCAGAGGUCGAUGGAAUUGCCGGUGUAGUGGUGAAAUGCGUAGAUAUCGGGAGGAACACCAGUGGCGAAGGCGACUACCUGGCCUGUUUCUUGACGCUGAGGCGCGAAAGCUAGGGGAGCAAACGGG